Molecule: ribosomal RNA, 403 nt
Filed under: bacterium
Lineage: Bacteria
Description: partial 16S ribosomal RNA
Rfam family: Bacterial small subunit ribosomal RNA
Source: RNAcentral
UGGGGAAUAUUGCACAAUGGAGGGAACUCUGAUGCAGCGACGCCGCGUGAACGAAGAAGGCUUUCGAGUCGUAAAGUUCUUUUAUAUGGGAAGAUAAUGACGGUACCAUAAGAAAAAGCCCCGGCUAACUACGUGCCAGCAGCCGCGGUAAUACGUAGGGGGCUAGCGUUGUCCGGAAUCACUGGGCGUAAAGGGUUCGCAGGCGGAAAUGCAAGUCAGGUGUAAAAGGCAGUAGCUUAACUACUGUAAGCAUUUGAAACUGCAUAUCUUGAGAAGAGUAGAGGUAAGUGGAAUUUUUAGUGUAGCGGUGAAAUUCGUAGAUAUUAAAAAGAAUACCGGUGGCGAAGGCGACUUACUGGGCUCAUUCUGACGCUGAGGAACGAAAGCGUGGGUAGCAAACAGG